UAAUAAUGCCAUCGCGAUGUAUUACGAUGAACCAGGUCAGGACGGGAACGUAGCAGCCUUAAGUUGCUAAGACAUGUGCGGUGGUUUCUUAUUUAUG
Molecule: signal recognition particle RNA, 97 nt
Filed under: Bacilli bacterium
Lineage: Bacteria; Bacillati; Bacillota; Bacilli
Also listed under: 1 other name
Description: signal recognition particle sRNA small type
Rfam family: Bacterial small signal recognition particle RNA
About the family: The signal recognition particle (SRP) is a universally conserved ribonucleoprotein involved in the co-translational targeting of proteins to membranes. Archaeal SRP consists of a 7S RNA and homologues of the eukaryotic SRP19 and SRP54 proteins. In most bacteria, the SRP consists of a 4.5S RNA and the Ffh protein (a homologue of the eukaryotic SRP54 protein).
Source: RNAcentral